UUCGCCCUUAGAGUUUGAUCCUGGCUCAGGACGAACGCUGGCGGCGCGCCUAACACAUGCAAGUCGAACGAGCGAGAGAGAGCUUGCUUUCUCGAGCGAGUGGCGAACGGGUGAGUAACGCGUGAGGAACCUGCCUCAAAGAGGGGGACAACAGUUGGAAACGACUGCUAAUACCGCAUAAGCCCACGGGUCGGCAUCGACCAGAGGGAAAAGGAGCAAUCCGCUUUGAGAUGGCCUCGCGUCCGAUUAGCUGGUUGGUGAGGUAACGGCCCACCAAGGCAACGAUCGGUAGCCGGACUGAGAGGUUGAACGGCCACAUUGGGACUGAGACACGGCCCAGACUCCUACGGGAGGCAGCUGUGGGGAAUAUUGCACAAUGGGGGAAACCCUGAUGCAGCGACGCCGCGUGGAGGAAGAAGGUCUUCGGAUUGUAAACUCCUGUUGUUGAGGAAGAUAAUGACGGUACUCAACAAGGAAGUGACGGCUAACUACGUGCCAGCAGCCGCGGUAAAACGUAGGUCACAAGCGUUGUCCGGAAUUACUGGGUGUAAAGGGAGCGCAGGCGGGAAGACAAGUUGGAAGUGAAAUCCAUGGGCUCAACCCAUGAACUGCUUUCAAAACUGUUUUUCUUGAGUAGUGCAGAGGUAGGCGGAAUUCCCGGUGUAGCGGUGGAAUGCGUAGAUAUCGGGAGGAACACCAGUGGCGAAGGCGGCCUACUGGGCACCAACUGACGCUGAGGCUCGAAAGUGUGGGUAGCAAACAGGAUUAGAUACCCUGGUAGUCCACACCGUAAACGAUGAUUACUAGGUGUUGGAGGAUUGACCCCUUCAGUGCCGCAGUUAACACAAUAAGUAAUCCACCUGGGGAGUACGACCGCAAGGUUGAAACUCAAAGGAAUUGACGGGGGCCCGCACAAGCAGUGGAGUAUGUGGUUUAAUUCGACGCAACGCGAAGAACCUUACCAAGUCUUGUCAUCCCUUGACGAUGCUGGAAACAGUAUUUCUCUUCGGAGCAAGGAGACAGGUGGUGCAUGGUUGUCGUCAGCUCGUGUCGUGAGAUGUUGGGUUAAGUCCCGCAACGAGCGCAACCCUUAUGGUCAGUUACUACGCAAGAGGACUCUGGCCAGACUGCCGUUGACAAAACGGAGGAAGGUGGGGAUGACGUCAAAUCAUCAUGCCCUUUAUGACUUGGGCUACACACGUACUACAAUGGCGUUAAACAAAGAGAAGCAAGACCGCGAGGUGGAGCAAAACUCAGAAACAACGUCCCAGUUCGGACUGCAGGCUGCAACUCGCCUGCACGAAGUCGGAAUUGCUAGUAAUCGUGGAUCAGCAUGCCACGGUGAAUACGUUCCCGGGCCUUGUACUCACCGCCCGUCA
Molecule: ribosomal RNA, 1379 nt
Filed under: uncultured bacterium
Lineage: Bacteria
Description: 16S ribosomal RNA
Rfam family: Bacterial small subunit ribosomal RNA
Source: RNAcentral